UACGAAGGGGGCUAGCGUUGCUCGGAAUUACUGGGCGUAAAGGGCGCGUAGGCGGACAUUUAAGUUAGAGGUGAAAGCCCAGGGCUCAACCCUGGAAUAGCCUUUAAUACUGGAUGUCUUGAGUUCGGGAGAGGUGAGUGGAAUGCCGAGUGUAGAGGUGAAAUUCGUAGAUAUUCGGCGGAACACCAGUGGCGAAGGCGACUCACUGGCCCGAUACUGACGCUGAGGCGCGAAAGCGUGGGGAGCAAACAGGG
RNAcentral lists this ribosomal RNA (254 nucleotides) under uncultured bacterium. Its description in RNAcentral is "partial 16S ribosomal RNA". It matches the Rfam family "Bacterial small subunit ribosomal RNA", at positions 524 to 777 of the family's 1533-position model. The record is from RNAcentral.